Molecule: ribosomal RNA, 253 nt
Filed under: uncultured bacterium
Lineage: Bacteria
Description: partial 16S ribosomal RNA
Rfam family: Bacterial small subunit ribosomal RNA
Source: RNAcentral
UACGUAGGUGGCAAGCGUUAUCCGGAUUUAUUGGGCGUAAAGGGAACGCAGGCGGUCUUUUAAGUCUGAUGUGAAAGCCUUCGGCUUAACCGGAGUAGUGCAUUGGAAACUGGGAGACUUGAGUGCAGAAGAGGAGAGUGGAACUCCAUGUGUAGCGGUGAAAUGCGUAGAUAUAAGGAAGAACACCAGUGGCGAAGGCGGAUGACUGGACGGCAACUGACGGUGAGGCGCGAAAGCGUGGGGAGCAAACAGG